CGAUGAUGCAUAGCCGAGUUGAGAGACUGAUCGGCCACAUUGGGACUGAGACACGGCCAAAACUCCUACGGAGGCAGCAGUAGGGAAUCUUCCACAAUGGACGCAAGUCUGAUGGAGCAAACGCCGCGUGAGUGAAGAAGGGUUUCGGCUCGUAAAGCUCUGUUGUUGGUGAAGAAGGACAGGGGUAGUAACUGACCUUUGUUUGACGGUAAUCAAUUAGAAAGUCACGGCUAACUACGUGCCAGCAGCCGCGUAAU
Molecule: ribosomal RNA, 257 nt
Filed under: uncultured Lactobacillus sp.
Lineage: Bacteria; Bacillati; Bacillota; Bacilli; Lactobacillales; Lactobacillaceae
Description: partial 16S ribosomal RNA
Rfam family: Bacterial small subunit ribosomal RNA
Source: RNAcentral